This is a long non-coding RNA of Physeter macrocephalus (sperm whale), 386 nucleotides long. RefSeq lists it as uncharacterized. The transcript has 4 exons. NCBI's taxonomy places the organism in Eukaryota, Metazoa, Chordata, Mammalia, Artiodactyla, Physeteridae. The record is from RefSeq and is a predicted model, not a curated record.
GCUGGAAAGAAGAGAACUUUGAACAGCCUGACAGUAGGUUAGUUCUCCAGAACCUUUUAAAUCCCCAAGGCAUGUGGGAUCCUAGCUCCUCGACCAGGGAUCGAAAACCCACACCCUCUGCAUUAGAAGGCGAAGUCUUAACCGCUAGACCGCGAGGUCAUCUUUGCCAUUAGCAACUGGAACAAGAGUUAAAGUGCAUGUGGCAUUUCUAAGGUGCCAUUUCUUGCUGAAAGGUUAGCACCAUAAUGAAGUUUCAGGGAAAAGACGAGGCCAUCUUUUCUGUUUUCUUACACUAUGUUUACCUAAAACUGGAAGAGGAUGAAAUUGGAUUUGAAGCAUCACAAAGUGAUUAAUGGGCCCAGCCACCUGUCCUACCUGGAUCAAAG